This 478-nucleotide ribosomal RNA is filed under the name uncultured soil bacterium. RNAcentral's name for it is "bacterial SSU rRNA". It matches the Rfam family "Bacterial small subunit ribosomal RNA", at positions 26 to 493 of the family's 1533-position model. The record is from RNAcentral.
AGAUUGAACGCUGGCGGCAGGCCUAACACAUGCAAGUCGAGCGGCAGCACGGGUACUUGUACCUGGUGGCGAGCGGCGGACGGGUGAGUAAUGCCUAGGAAUCUGCCUGGUAGUGGGGGAUAACGCUCGGAAACGGACGCUAAUACCGCAUACCGUCCUACGGGAGAAAGCAGGGGACCUUCGGGCCUUGCGCUAUCAGAUGAGCCUAGGUCGGAUUAGCUAGUUGGUGAGGUAAUGGCUCACCAAGGCGACGAUCCGUAACUGGUCUGAGAGGAUGAUCAGUCACACUGGAACUGAGACACGGUCCAGACUCCGUACGGGAGCAGCAGGUAGGGGAAUAGUUGGACAAGUGGGCGAAAGCCUGACUCCAGCCAGUCGCCGCGGUGUGGUAGAAGUAAGGUCGUUACGGAUUUAGUAAAGCUAACGUUUAAGGUAGGAGGUAAGGUUAGUAAACCGUAAUUACGUUAGACUAACGUUU